AGUGAACGCUGGCGGUAGGCCUAACACAUGCAAGUCGAACGGCAGCACAGUAAGAGCUUGCUCUUACGGGUGGCGAGUGGCGGACGGGUGAGGAAUACAUCGGAAUCUACUUUUUCGUGGGGGAUAACGUAGGGAAACUUACGCCUAUACCGCAUACGACCUACGGGUGAAAGCAGGGGAUCUUCGGACCUUGCGCGAUUGAAUGAGCCGAUGUCGGAUUAGCUAGUUGGCGGGGUAAAGGCCCACCAAGGCGACGAUCCGUAGCUGGUCUGAGAGGAUGAUCAGCCACACUGGAACUGAGACACGGUCCAGACUCCUACGGGAGGCAGCAGUGGGGAAUAUUGGACAAUGGGCGCAAGCCUGAUCCAGCCAUACCGCGUGGGUGAAGAAGGCCUUCGGGUUGUAAAGCCCUUUUGUUGGGGAGGAAAAGCAGCAGGUUAAUACCCCGCUGUUCUGACGGUACCCAAAGAAUAAGCACCGGCUAACUUCGUG
RNAcentral lists this ribosomal RNA (492 nucleotides) under uncultured bacterium. Its description in RNAcentral is "partial 16S ribosomal RNA". It matches the Rfam family "Bacterial small subunit ribosomal RNA", at positions 29 to 507 of the family's 1533-position model. The record is from RNAcentral.